RNAcentral lists this unclassified non-coding RNA (218 nucleotides) under soil metagenome. Its description in RNAcentral is "partial contains 5.8S ribosomal RNA, internal transcribed spacer 2, and large subunit ribosomal RNA". The record is from RNAcentral.
AACGAGGCCGACCUGCGGCUGAGUUACCUGCGGAAGGAUCAUUACAAGUGACCCCGGUUUACCACCGGGAUGUUCAUAACCCUUUGUUGUCCGACUCUGUUGCCUCCGGGGCGACCCUGCCUUCGGGCGGGGGCUCCGGGUGGACACUUCAAACUCUUGCGUAACUUUGCAGUCUGAGUAAACUUAAUUAAUAAAUUAAAACUUUUAACAAUGGAUCU